RNAcentral lists this ribosomal RNA (460 nucleotides) under uncultured bacterium. RNAcentral's name for it is "partial 16S ribosomal RNA". It matches the Rfam family "Bacterial small subunit ribosomal RNA", at positions 338 to 795 of the family's 1533-position model. The record is from RNAcentral.
CCUACGGGUGGCAGCAGUGAGGAAUAUUGGUCAAUGGACGAGAGUCUGAACCAGCCAAGUAGCGUGAAGGAUGACUGCCCUAUGGGUUGUAAACUUCUUUUAUAUGGGAAUAAAAUGUUCCACGUGUGGGAUUUUGUAUGUACCAUAUGAAUAAGGAUCGGCUAACUCCGUGCCAGCAGCCGCGGUAAUACGGAGGAUCCGAGCGUUAUCCGGAUUUAUUGGGUUUAAAGGGAGCGUAGGUGGAUUGUUAAGUCAGUUGUGAAAGUUUGCGGCUCAACCGUAAAAUUGCAGUUGAAACUGGCAGUCUUGAGUACAGUAGAGGUGGGCAGAAUUCGUGGUGUAGCGGUGAAAUGCUUAGAUAUCACGAAGAACUCCGAUUGCGAAGGCAGUUCACUGGACUGCAACUGACACUGAGGCUCGAAAGUGUGGGUAUCAAACAGGAUUAGAUACCCUUGUAGUC